GUCAGCAGCCAUAUCACCCUGCACCUCACUACUGGCAACUCCCUGAAGCUCAGCCGGUGUGAGCCUGGCCAGUACCUGGAUGGGAGACCUCCUGGGAAAGCUAAGGUUGCUGCUGGAA
This 118-nucleotide ribosomal RNA is filed under the name Lepisosteus oculatus (spotted gar). Lineage: Eukaryota; Metazoa; Chordata; Actinopteri; Semionotiformes; Lepisosteidae. The record is from RNAcentral.